UCUCCGGGGCGGUGGAAGGAGCCGGUAGCUGUGCAGCCCGCUGUCCGACAGCGCUGCUGAGCUCACGGCACCGACCACCGUGCGCGGCCU
Molecule: microRNA precursor, 90 nt
Filed under: Columba livia (rock pigeon)
Lineage: Eukaryota; Metazoa; Chordata; Aves; Columbiformes; Columbidae
Description: microRNA cli-mir-9639 precursor
Source: miRBase by way of RNAcentral